CAGAAGGGACUUGCCUUGUCUCAGAUGAGACUUUGGACUGUGGAUUUUUGGCGAAGUAAGCAUAACCUGCCAUCUGGUGGAUGUAAGGUGAAUGAUUUCUGGAAGAAGCAAUGGAUGUUUACACAAGGAGAUGCUUAUCAGAAACAUGGAGGGAAAUAAGUAAGGUGAACAAGUGCAUGCUGGAAUGGGGAAAUUGCAAACCAUAUAUAUUGUCAGAGGUAAUGACUCUGUUUGUUGUUGCCUUGUAUUGCUGCACAUUACCUUUUCAAGAGAAGCUUGAAAUGUAAAACAUAAUGAGACAUCUUAUUUCGAUGAAGGCAUCUACUUGAAGUUACUGGAAAAAAAAAAAGAAUAUGAAUGUCAAAUUCAGUCUAGGGAACACAACUUUUGCUUUCUAUUCUUAAGAAGGAGACUUUCAAAAUAAAGUCACUAAUAACAAUUCUAAAUGUUCCAAAAUGCAUUUAUUGAGAUGAUCAAGUACCCAAAGUUGGAUUUAGAUCUUUACUUGUUUUUUCUUCUAUCAUAGUGUAAUGUUGUCAAGAUUUUAAAUCUCAUGUCUUUCAUACAAACUUACAACCUAAUAUCUGCUUUACCGAUUUUAAGGGUAGAUUGGAAUAAUGCAUAUAGAGCACCUAAACAGGAUGUCGAUAUACAUCAGUAUAUAUUCCUAACACGUAAUUUCCCUAAAAAAUGUGUCACAAAACAUGAUGUUUUAAAAAAAGAAAGAAAACUUGGGACAUUAUUGUCUCUUAAAUAUUUUUUAAUAUGUUAAAAUCAAAAAUAUAAUUGUAUAAAAAGUAAUACCUACCAAUUGAUAAUUCUGAAAAAACAAUAUUUGUAAAGCUUCUAGGAAGCAACAAAGUCUAAUUACAAUUAAACAAUGGUAUAAUCAACAUGGGCACUUCAGUAUGACUCUCAAGCAGUACAAAAGAUAAAAAUGAAACAUAAAAAAUAAAAAAUGAUAAAUGUUGACCUGAUAAUUCGUGAUAAUUUUUUUUUGAGCACAAUUGAAAACCAAUGCUUUGGUAUAAAUUCAUUUGAAAUCUUUAAUUCUGCAUUUCUAGUUUAAUAAAACCAGCCAUGUUUGAUUCCAAACACUCUGCAAAUUUUAAGAGAAACUUUGCAGAGCAAAUCAACAUCAUAAGCAUUAUGGCAACCACAAUAUUUGUUAAACUAGGUUCAGGGGGAGCAUUUAUUCCUUUGGUUAUUUCAACUAAACUGCAUUUCUGCCUCGAAAGUGUUUCAUGAGACUCCAGUGGAUGAGGAGCAGUUGUGAUUCAUUUUAGUACCAGAAUAUUCCAGAAUAAUUAGCUUUUAGUGAAGAGCUGCCAUCAUGAGCCAAGUUUUAAAAUAUGCUGUUUUCCUCAGUU
This 1370-nucleotide long non-coding RNA is filed under the name Homo sapiens (human). RNAcentral's name for it is "HSALNT0319932". Lineage: Eukaryota; Metazoa; Chordata; Mammalia; Primates; Hominidae. The record is from RNAcentral.